RNAcentral lists this long non-coding RNA (528 nucleotides) under Salvator merianae (Argentine black and white tegu). RNAcentral describes it as "lncRNA (ENSSMRG00000020963.1)". The record is from RNAcentral. Lineage: Eukaryota; Metazoa; Chordata; Lepidosauria; Squamata; Teiidae.
GCAGCUUCUGAAGCAGUGGAGGCUCAACAGUUCCCCCUACUUUAUAUGGGACAAAAUUCCACUACAUAGUGGUGGAACCACCACANUGUAAAGGGAUGCUUGCACAUGGAAAGUGCCUGGCUAAUCCUUAAAUUCAUUGUAUGCGAAGAGUGGAAGUUACUGGCAGACCGGUCAGUAGAGACUGAGGAUUCUAAAGGCUGCUCUGGCGUCAAAGAUUGGGAAGCCCACCAUGGUUAUCCACAAGAAUUUUGAAAUUCAUCUGGAGACUUACAAGCUCUAGGCGUUUCUGCACUCACCUUAGAUCAGUCUAGGUUGGUUCGCCAAGCGUCCACUCCAUGUUUUCACCUUCAAAGCUCAUUUAAACGCAUGCAAAGAUAGGGGAGGCAACUGUCAAGGUUUGUUUUCAUCUGUUCCAUCUGAGCUACAUUUUUUACAGUGCCAAGUUGUGAAGCCUUGAAUUCACUUGCCAAGGAAAACAGGACUUACUCUUUUAUGUGGUGACCCUUCUUGCCUUUCAUCUUAUAAGGA